Molecule: unclassified non-coding RNA, 301 nt
Filed under: Hevea brasiliensis (rubber tree)
Lineage: Eukaryota; Viridiplantae; Streptophyta; Magnoliopsida; Malpighiales; Euphorbiaceae
Source: RNAcentral
GCAAUAGAAACCUUGGUUACAAUCCACUUAUCUUUAUCUUUAUCUUCAGCUUCAGAUUUAACAACAUCAGAAUUUCUCACUGACAAAUGUUGUGGCUUGUCAGCUGAAGGUGAUGAGGAGUCAUCUAUCAGAGGCGGCACAACAUUAGGAGUCUCUGAAAGAUUUUCUUGCGCGCAUUCUGCAAUUAUCUCAUACUCCUUGCUUGAUAGAGCAGCUUUUAAUUCUUCAAUCUUGAUAGCAACUUCAACACUAGGAAUUUGAUGUAAUAGGUCCCGCAGUGAUCGCAGUAUAACAAUUGAAA